CAGCCGUGGCCUAGCUUGAUUGAAGACGAUUAUUAUGACGAGACGUUUUUACGAUGAUUUCUGUGAAAAUGAUUACCUGGUUGGCAUUCAUGCAAGCAAGCCCUACAACUUGUAGUACAACUGCCAUGUAUCAACACUCCAUACAAACCAGCUCAGGAUGAUGGGAACUAAGCUGAAUUACUUUACCAGAUUGCCUCUUACGGUAGCAGGGUAUUCAUGGAGCAUUAUCGAGAUGGCAUCAGGAAGAGAGUGUUCGGCAGGUGAAGCGCAUUUGUAGAAGCCUCAGACUUCGACGCCACUGCCCAGAAUCAUCUGAGUAGGACAUUGCCCGAGCUAUUUGUCCGAUGCCCUCUCGCCUUAUCCUUGCUGAUCACACUGUCCAACACUGCAAUGUCAUCAAGCUGCCAAUAUCAAAUUGUGUCCUUGUAAUGCCCUUAUUUAACUGUUUAGCAGCUCAAUAAAUAGUGUACAUUCAGAGCUUCUUACUAAAGGUAUUACAAAGUUUUGGUAAGGGGUCUUGAAUUUGGUUCAAAUAAACAUAUUGGAAGCAUAUACUAUCCUACAAUAAUCAGUGAUCGUU
Molecule: long non-coding RNA, 580 nt
Filed under: Strongylocentrotus purpuratus (purple sea urchin)
Lineage: Eukaryota; Metazoa; Echinodermata; Echinoidea; Camarodonta; Strongylocentrotidae
Description: uncharacterized LOC115928915
Source: RNAcentral